This 705-nucleotide ribosomal RNA is filed under the name Aerococcus urinaeequi. RNAcentral's name for it is "bacterial SSU rRNA". It matches the Rfam family "Bacterial small subunit ribosomal RNA", at positions 40 to 727 of the family's 1533-position model. Lineage: Bacteria; Bacillati; Bacillota; Bacilli; Lactobacillales; Aerococcaceae. The record is from RNAcentral.
CGGCAUGCCUAAUACAUGCAAGUCGAGCGAACAGAUGAAGUGCUUGCACUUCUGACGUUAGCGGCGAACGGGUGAGUAACACGUAAGGAAUCUACCUAUAAGCGGGGGAUAACAUUCGGAAACGGGUGCUAAUACCGCAUAAUAUCUUCUUCCGCAUGGAAGAAGAUUGAAAGACGGCUCUGCUGUCACUUAUAGAUGACCUUGCGGUGCAUUAGUUAGUUGGUGGGGUAACGGCCUACCAAGACGAUGAUGCAUAGCCGACCUGAGAGGGUGAUCGGCCACAUUGGGACUGAGACACGGCCCAAACUCCUACGGGAGGCAGCAGUAGGGAAUCUUCCGCAAUGGGCGAAAGCCUGACGGAGCAAUGCCGCGUGAGUGAAGAAGGCCUUCGGGUCGUAAAACUCUGUUAUAAGAGAAGAACAAAUUGUAGAGUAACUGCUACAGUCUUGACGGUAUCUUAUCAGAAAGCCACGGCUAACUACGUGCCAGCAGCCGCGGUAAUACGUAGGUGGCAAGCGUUGUCCGGAUUUAUUGGGCGUAAAGGGAGCGCAGGUGGUUUCUUAAGUCUGAUGUGAAAGCCCACGGCUUAACCGUGGAGGGUCAUUGGAAACUGGGAAACUUGAGUACAGAAGAGGAAUGUGGAACUCCAUGUGUAGCGGUGGAAUGCGUAGAUAUAUGGAAGAACACCAGUGGCGAAGGCGACAU